UUCACUUUCAUUUUGGCUUGCUGUAAGGAUUGCUGCCCUGCCGGCUGGCUAGGUUGCUCUGGUGCAGAGAAGAACUUGAAAAAUCUCAAUGAUCUUUGGUACUACUUGGUCUUUAUCAGAAGUUAAAGAGGUUCUAAAGUUUGAAGCUGCAGAAUUAAGAGUCUGUCAAUGGAGCAAAAAACAGGCAAGAGGACAAGCCAACCUGAAAACUAUGAAGUCAGAAGUGACAGAGGUGAUGGCCUGGACCAUGUGGGAGGCUCAGGUUUGCAGUUAGACAUGGAGAGCUCAAUGAAGAAUGGCCAGUCCUGCAAGGAGCGCCGUGUCUGGCAGUGAAACUUAUGGAAAGAAGUAACUAUCUUAUGCUUUCACAAGUCCUAUCGAAGAGCCCUGCCUCAAAGCAUUGAGAGAAUACAGAAUAGGAGUGUUUAAAGCAGUCUUGAAGACUCAUUUAGGAAACAUCCCCCUGAGAAGGUAAAAUGAUCAUUUUUGAAGGAACAAGCAAGAAAACGCUGUGCUCUACUUAGCAAGUUAUGGACAGGAUGUUGGACUUCCAAGAAGACAACACUGACCGUGUGUGCUGGGUUUCACAGUUAUUCCUGUAAGUGGUGGUGAGAUUUGGAGACAGUCAUCUUGGGGUAGAGUGGCUAGUGGAUGCCGAGGCCCCUGCAGCCAUCUAGAUGACAGAGGAAGGACUGAGAUCCGGAAGCAGAAUGGAAAAGAAAAAUGUGCCCCCUUUGUUUCAGCAGUGUUUAGGGAAGUUUACAAAUAACUUAAUGAAAAUCUUGCAUCCUGUAACUUGUUACUUAUAAUAUCUAAUACAAGACAUUCACUUGGUUGAA
Molecule: non-coding RNA, 839 nt
Organism: Cricetulus griseus (Chinese hamster)
Lineage: Eukaryota; Metazoa; Chordata; Mammalia; Rodentia; Cricetidae
Source: RefSeq, a predicted model, not a curated record